Molecule: ribosomal RNA, 509 nt
Filed under: uncultured organism
Description: SSU rRNA
Rfam family: Bacterial small subunit ribosomal RNA
Source: RNAcentral
AGCUAGUAGUUGAUCCUGGCUCAGGACGAACGCUGGCGGCGUGCCUAACACAUGCAAGUCGAACGGAGCUAUUUUGACGGAACCCUUCGGGGUGAAGAUGAUUUAGCUUAGUGGCGAACGGGUGAGUAACGCGUGAGCAACCUGCCUUUCAGAGGGGGACAACAGUUGGAAACGACUGCUAAUACCGCAUAACACAGCGGGACCGCAUGAUCCUGCUGUCAAAGAUUUAUCGCUGAAAGAUGGGCUCGCGUCUGAUUAGCUAGUUGGUGAGGUAACGGCCCACCAAGGCGACGAUCAGUAGCCGGUCUGAGAGGAUGAACGGCCACAUUGGGACUGAGAUACGGCCCAGACUCCUACGGGAGGCAGCAGUGGGGAAUAUUGGGCAAUGGGGGCAACCCUGACCCAGCAACGCCGCGUGAGGGAAGAAGGCUUUCGGGUUGUAAACCUCUUUUACCAGGGAAGAAGAAAGUGACGGUACCUGGAGAAAAAGCCACGGCUAACUACGUGCC